CUACGGGGUGCUGCAGUGAGAAAUAUUGCACAAUGGGGGGAACCCUGAUGCAGCAACGCCGCGUGGAGGAUGACGCAUUUCGGUGUGUAAACUCCUUUUAUAUGUCAAGAAAAUGACGGUAGCAUAUGAAUAAGCACCGGCUAACUCCGUGCCAGCAGCCGCGGUAAUACGGAGGGUGCAAGCGUUACUCAGAAUCACUGGGCGUAAAGGACGCGUAGGCGGGUUGGAAAGUCAGGUGUGAAAUCCUACAGCUUAACUGUAGAACUGCACUUGAAACUUCUAAUCUAGAGUAUGGGAGGGGGAGAUGGAAUUAGUGGUGUAGGGGUAAAAUCCGUAGAUAUCACUAGGAAUACCUAAAGCGAAGGCGAUCUCCUGGAACAUUACUGACGCUAAGGCGUGAAAGCGUGGGGAGCAAACAGGAUUAGAUACCCGCGUAGUC
RNAcentral lists this ribosomal RNA (439 nucleotides) under uncultured bacterium. Its description in RNAcentral is "partial 16S ribosomal RNA". It matches the Rfam family "Bacterial small subunit ribosomal RNA", at positions 339 to 795 of the family's 1533-position model. The record is from RNAcentral.